ACCUGGCUGACUCAGUCGGAAAAGUAUGUGACUCUUGAUCUCAAGGUCAUGAGUUCAAGCCCCAUGCUGGGUG
This 73-nucleotide transfer RNA is filed under the name Felis catus (domestic cat). It matches the Rfam family "tRNA". From Rfam's summary of the family: Transfer RNA (tRNA) molecules are approximately 80 nucleotides in length. Their secondary structure includes four short double-helical elements and three loops (D, anti-codon, and T loops). Further hydrogen bonds mediate the characteristic L-shaped molecular structure. tRNAs have two regions of fundamental functional importance: the anti-codon, which is responsible for specific mRNA codon recognition, and the 3' end, to which the tRNAs corresponding amino acid is attached (by aminoacyl-tRNA synthetases). tRNAs cope with the degeneracy of the genetic code in two manners: having more than one tRNA (with a specific anti-codon) for a particular amino acid; and 'wobble' base-pairing, i.e. permitting non-standard base-pairing at the 3rd anti-codon position. The record is from Rfam by way of RNAcentral. Lineage: Eukaryota; Metazoa; Chordata; Mammalia; Carnivora; Felidae.